This 29-nucleotide non-coding RNA is filed under the name Cricetulus griseus (Chinese hamster). Lineage: Eukaryota; Metazoa; Chordata; Mammalia; Rodentia; Cricetidae. The record is from RNAcentral.
AACAUGGAAGGUUACUCUGGUGCGGACAU